AGUGAACGCUGGCGGUAGGCCUAACACAUGCAAGUCGAACGGCAGCACAGUAAGAUCUUGCUCUUACGGGUGGCGAGGGGCGGACGGGUGAGGCAUACAUCGGAAACUACUUUUACGGGGGGGAUAACGGAGGGAAACAUACGCUAAUACCUCAUACGACCAACGGGUGAAAGCAGAGGAGCUUGGGGCCUUUCCCGACUGAAUUAGCCGCGGUCGGAUUACCUAGUUGGCUGGGUAAAGGCUCACCAAGGCGACGAUCCGUAGCUGGUCUGAGAGGAUGAUCAGCAACACUGGAACUAAGACACGGUCCAGCCUCCUAGGGGAGGCAGCAGUGGGAAAUAUUGGACAAUGGGCGAAAGCCUGAUCCAGCCAUACGGCGUGGGUGAAGAAGGCCUUCGGGUUGUAAGCCCUUUUGUUGGGAAAGAAAAGAAGCAGGUUUAUACGUCGAUGUUCUGACGGUACCCAAAGAAUAAGCACCGGCUAACUUCGUG
RNAcentral lists this ribosomal RNA (491 nucleotides) under uncultured bacterium. RNAcentral's name for it is "partial 16S ribosomal RNA". It matches the Rfam family "Bacterial small subunit ribosomal RNA", at positions 29 to 507 of the family's 1533-position model. The record is from RNAcentral.